RNAcentral lists this non-coding RNA (239 nucleotides) under Bacillus safensis. RNAcentral's name for it is "T-box". It matches the Rfam family "T-box leader". Rfam says of the family: Uncharged tRNA acts as the effector for transcription antitermination of genes in the T-box leader family. T-boxes are found upstream of many aminoacyl-tRNA synthetase genes and some amino acid biosynthetic genes usually in Gram-positive bacteria. The record is from RNAcentral. Lineage: Bacteria; Bacillati; Bacillota; Bacilli; Caryophanales; Bacillaceae.
GUGGAACUGAUGAUAGAGAAUAGUAGGGUAAAUUGCGUGAGCAGAGAGGACUCGCCUUAGGCUGAAAGCGAAUCCGCAUGGCAUUUAUCACGAAAGAACACUCUGUAGGUUUCCUGCUGAACGCUCUAAAAAUGAGCCAAUAGGCGGAGAACGUGAAUCUGCGUUAAGGAUUUGAGCGGGAACAUGCUGGAUUAUGUUCCAACUAGGGUGGCACCACGGGUAUAACUCUCGUCCCUACU